This 806-nucleotide long non-coding RNA is filed under the name Ricinus communis (castor bean). RNAcentral describes it as "long non-coding RNA (RCOM_LNC003217)". The record is from RNAcentral. Lineage: Eukaryota; Viridiplantae; Streptophyta; Magnoliopsida; Malpighiales; Euphorbiaceae.
CUCAAAAUUCACAAAUCGAACACAAAUUUAGCUAAAUUAACAUAUCAAACAAAUGCACAUAGAUCGAACCUUAAUAAACCCUAAAUUAUCACUCCUUAAAUCCAAAUUCUCAAUUAAAAUAAAAAAAAAUGAGAAAACCCAUAACAAAUAAUAAAUCUUUAAACUUUUACAGUAAAAAAGAAUAUCAACUUCAAAUAAUUAAACUUAACCCACAAAAGAAAAUCAAGAAGAAAAAGAAAUGAACUCACUUCAGCUAGAUUUGAACAGUAGAAAUGGAGUGAGUGAAGCGAAGCAAGACCCAGAUCGCCACGUGUACUUUAUGAGCUCGAGAAAAUCAAGACAGUGACUUUGAUUUCGUGAAUCUCAGUGUACUCUCUCUCUCUUUUUUUCUAUUAUACACAAAAACACACAAAGUACUCUUUUUUAUUUUAUAACAAAGUAGAGAGAUAGUACAAAAAAUGAUAAGAGAUUUUUUAGGGUUUUUAAAGAAGAUGAUUAGUAGCUUAGUUUGGGUCUUGGGUGGGUCAUACUUUCCGGGUAGGAUUUAACGGUUAAUCGGCGGCGAGGAAUUGGGGGAGGAGAUUAUUCCCGUCGAUCGCCGAUCAGGAAUUUUUUUUUGGAAAGGAAAAUCGAUAAUAAUAAAAAUAAAUAUUAUCUUUUUUUUUUAAAGUAAACGGUGUUAAUAAUAUUAAUGGUGGUUGUUGCUAUAGUGCGCUGGAGUGCGUACUGAUAAUUUUAUUAUAUUUUUUUAAUAAUUACUAUUAAUAUUGUUUUUUCGAAUAAUUAAUAUAUAGUCGUAAUUUCCU